This 465-nucleotide ribosomal RNA is filed under the name Vreelandella stevensii. RNAcentral describes it as "partial 16S ribosomal RNA". It matches the Rfam family "Bacterial small subunit ribosomal RNA", at positions 338 to 795 of the family's 1533-position model. Lineage: Bacteria; Pseudomonadati; Pseudomonadota; Gammaproteobacteria; Oceanospirillales; Halomonadaceae. The record is from RNAcentral.
CCUACGGGUGGCAGCAGUGGGGAAUAUUGGACAAUGGGGGCAACCCUGAUCCAGCCAUGCCGCGUGUGUGAAGAAGGCCCUCGGGUUAUAAAGCACUUUCAGUGAGGAAGAACGCCUGGUGGUUAAUACCCAUCAGGAAAGACAUCACUCACAGAAGAAGCACCGGCUAACUCCGUGCCAGCAGCCGCGGUAAUACGGAGGGUGCGAGCGUUAAUCGGAAUUACUGGGCGUAAAGCGCGCGUAGGUGGCUUGAUAAGCCGGUUGUGAAAGCCCCGGGCUCAACCUGGGAACGGCAUCCGGAACUGUCAAGCUAGAGUGCAGGAGAGGAAGGUAGAAUUCCCGGUGUAGCGGUGAAAUGCGUAGAGAUCGGGAGGAAUACCAGUGGCGAAGGCGGCCUUCUGGACUGACACUGACACUGAGGUGCGAAAGCGUGGGUAGCAAACAGGAUUAGAUACCCCAGUAGUC